This 254-nucleotide ribosomal RNA is filed under the name uncultured bacterium. RNAcentral describes it as "partial 16S ribosomal RNA". It matches the Rfam family "Bacterial small subunit ribosomal RNA", at positions 524 to 776 of the family's 1533-position model. The record is from RNAcentral.
UACAGAGGUCUCAAGCGUUGUUCGGAUUCAUUGGGCGUAAAGGGUGCGUAGGUGGCGCCGUAAGUCAGGUGUGAAAUUUCGGAGCUUAACUCCGAAACUGCAUUUGAUACUGCGGUGCUUGAGGACUGGAGAGGAGACUGGAAUUUACGGUGUAGCAGUGAAAUGCGUAGAGAUCGUAAGGAAGACCAGUGGCGAAGGCGGGUCUCGUGGACAGUUCCUGACGCUGAGGCACGAAGGUCAGGGGAGCAAACGGG